AACGAACGCUGGCGGCAGGCCUAACACAUGCAAGUCGAGCGCGACCUUCGGGUUGAGCGGCGGACGGGUUAGUAACGCGUGGGAAUAUACCCAGAUCUACGGAAUAGCCUUUGGAAACGAAGAGUAAUACCGUAUACGCCCUUCGGGGGAAAGAUUUAUCGGAUUUGGAUUAGCCCGCGUUAGAUUAGAUAGUUGGUGGGGUAACGGCCUACCAAGUCUACGAUCUAUAGCUGGUUUUAGAGGAUGAUCAGCAACACUGGGACUGAGACACGGCCCAGACUCCUACGGGAGGCAGCAGUGGGGAAUCUUGGACAAUGGGCGCAAGCCUGAUCCAGCCAUGCCGCGUGAGUGAUGAAGGCCUUAGGGUCGUAAAGCUCUUUCGCCAGAGAUGAUAAUGACAGUAUCUGGUAAAGAAACCCCGGCUAACUCCG
Molecule: ribosomal RNA, 431 nt
Filed under: uncultured Paracoccaceae bacterium
Lineage: Bacteria; Pseudomonadati; Pseudomonadota; Alphaproteobacteria; Rhodobacterales; Paracoccaceae
Description: bacterial SSU rRNA
Rfam family: Bacterial small subunit ribosomal RNA
Source: RNAcentral